CCUACGGGAGGCAGCAGUGGGGAAUAUUCGGCAAUGGGCGCAAGCCUGACCCAGCAACGCCGCGUGAAGGAAGAAGGCUUUCGGGUUGUAAACUUCUUUUGUCAGGGAAGAGUAGAAGACGGUACCUGACGAAUCAGCCACGGCUAACUACGUGCCAGCAGCCGCGGUAAUACGUAGGGUGCCAGCGUUGUACGGAUUUACUGGGUGUAAAGGGCGUGUAGCCGGGUUGACAAGUCAGAUGUGAAAUUCUGCGGCUUAACCGGAGAACUGCCUUUGAAACUGGUGAUCUUGAGUACUGGAGAGGCAGAUGGAAUGCCUAGUGUAGCGGUGAAAUGCGUAGAUAUUAGGAGGAACACCAGUGGCGAAGGCGGUCUGCUGGACAGCAACUGACGGUGAGGCGCGAAAGCGUGGUGAGCAAACAGGAUUAGAUACCCUAGUAGUC
This 442-nucleotide ribosomal RNA is filed under the name uncultured bacterium. Its description in RNAcentral is "partial 16S ribosomal RNA". It matches the Rfam family "Bacterial small subunit ribosomal RNA", at positions 338 to 795 of the family's 1533-position model. The record is from RNAcentral.